UACGUAGGGGGCGAGCGUUGUCCGGAUUUAUUGGGCGUAAAGAGCUCGUAGGCGGCUCGGUAAGUGAGGUGUGAAAACUCCAGGCUCAACCUGGAGACGCCACCUCAUACUGCCGUGGCUAGAGUCCGGUAGGGGAGCAUGGAAUUCCUGGUGUAGCGGUGAAAUGCGCAGAUAUCAGGAGGAACACCAGUGGCGAAGGCGGUGCUCUGGGCCGGAACUGACGCUGAGGAGCGAAAGCCAGGGGAGCAAACGGG
This 254-nucleotide ribosomal RNA is filed under the name uncultured bacterium. RNAcentral describes it as "partial 16S ribosomal RNA". It matches the Rfam family "Bacterial small subunit ribosomal RNA", at positions 524 to 776 of the family's 1533-position model. The record is from RNAcentral.